RNAcentral lists this ribosomal RNA (2906 nucleotides) under Bacillus cereus NC7401. RNAcentral's name for it is "bacterial LSU rRNA". It matches the Rfam family "Bacterial large subunit ribosomal RNA". The record is from RNAcentral. Lineage: Bacteria; Bacillati; Bacillota; Bacilli; Caryophanales; Bacillaceae.
CGCACGGUGGAUGCCUUGACACUAGGAGUCGAUGAAGGACGGGACUAACGCCGAUAUGCUUCGGGGAGCUGUAAGUAAGCUUUGAUCCGAAGAUUUCCGAAUGGGGAAACCCACCAUACGUAAUGGUAUGGUAUCCUUAUCUGAAUACAUAGGGUAAGGAAGACAGACCCAGGGAACUGAAACAUCUAAGUACCUGGAGGAAGAGAAAGCAAAUGCGAUUUCCUGAGUAGCGGCGAGCGAAACGGAACAUAGCCCAAACCAAGAGGCUUGUCUCUUGGGGUUGUAGGACAUUCUAUACGGAGUUACAAAGGAACGAGGUAGACGAAGCGACCUGGAAAGGUCCGUCGUAGAGGGUAACAACCCCGUAGUCGAAACUUCGUUCUCUCUUGAAUGUAUCCUGAGUACGGCGGAACACGUGAAAUUCCGUCGGAAUCUGGGAGGACCAUCUCCCAAGGCUAAAUACUCCCUAGUGAUCGAUAGUGAACCAGUACCGUGAGGGAAAGGUGAAAAGCACCCCGGAAGGGGAGUGAAAGAGAUCCUGAAACCGUGUGCCUACAAAUAGUCAGAGCCCGUUAACGGGUGAUGGCGUGCCUUUUGUAGAAUGAACCGGCGAGUUACGAUCCCGUGCGAGGUUAAGCUGAAGAGGCGGAGCCGCAGCGAAAGCGAGUCUGAAUAGGGCGUUUAGUACGUGGUCGUAGACCCGAAACCAGGUGAUCUACCCAUGUCCAGGGUGAAGUUCAGGUAACACUGAAUGGAGGCCCGAACCCACGCACGUUGAAAAGUGCGGGGAUGAGGUGUGGGUAGCGGAGAAAUUCCAAUCGAACCUGGAGAUAGCUGGUUCUCCCCGAAAUAGCUUUAGGGCUAGCCUUAAGUGUAAGAGUCUUGGAGGUAGAGCACUGAUUGGACUAGGGGUCCUCAUCGGAUUACCGAAUUCAGUCAAACUCCGAAUGCCAAUGACUUAUCCUUAGGAGUCAGACUGCGAGUGAUAAGAUCCGUAGUCAAAAGGGAAACAGCCCAGACCGCCAGCUAAGGUCCCAAAGUGUGUAUUAAGUGGAAAAGGAUGUGGAGUUGCUUAGACAACUAGGAUGUUGGCUUAGAAGCAGCCACCAUUUAAAGAGUGCGUAAUAGCUCACUAGUCGAGUGACUCUGCGCCGAAAAUGUACCGGGGCUAAAUACACCACCGAAGCUGCGGAUUGAUACCGAAUGGUAUCAGUGGUAGGGGAGCGUUCUAAGGACAGUGAAGUCAGACCGGAAGGACUGGUGGAGUGCUUAGAAGUGAGAAUGCCGGUAUGAGUAGCGAAAGACGGGUGAGAAUCCCGUCCACCGAAUGCCUAAGGUUUCCUGAGGAAGGCUCGUCCGCUCAGGGUUAGUCAGGACCUAAGCCGAGGCCGACAGGCGUAGGCGAUGGACAACAGGUUGAUAUUCCUGUACCACCUCUUUAUCGUUUGAGCAAUGGAGGGACGCAGAAGGAUAGAAGAAGCGUGCGAUUGGUUGUGCACGUCCAAGCAGUUAGGCUGAUAAGUAGGCAAAUCCGCUUAUCGUAAAGGCUGAGCUGUGAUGGGGAAGCUCCUUAUGGAGCGAAGUCUUUGAUUCCCCGCUGCCAAGAAAAGCUUCUAGCGAGAUAAAAGGUGCCUGUACCGCAAACCGACACAGGUAGGCGAGGAGAGAAUCCUAAGGUGUGCGAGAGAACUCUGGUUAAGGAACUCGGCAAAAUGACCCCGUAACUUCGGGAGAAGGGGUGCUUUCUUAACGGAAAGCCGCAGUGAAUAGGCCCAAGCGACUGUUUAGCAAAAACACAGCUCUCUGCGAAGCCGUAAGGCGAAGUAUAGGGGGUGACACCUGCCCGGUGCUGGAAGGUUAAGGAGAGGGGUUAGCGUAAGCGAAGCUCUGAACUGAAGCCCCAGUAAACGGCGGCCGUAACUAUAACGGUCCUAAGGUAGCGAAAUUCCUUGUCGGGUAAGUUCCGACCCGCACGAAAGGUGUAACGAUUUGGGCACUGUCUCAACCAGAGACUCGGUGAAAUUAUAGUACCUGUGAAGAUGCAGGUUACCCGCGACAGGACGGAAAGACCCCGUGGAGCUUUACUGUAGCCUGAUAUUGAAUUUUGGUACAGUUUGUACAGGAUAGGCGGGAGCCUUUGAAACCGGAGCGCUAGCUUCGGUGGAGGCGCUGGUGGGAUACCGCCCUGACUGUAUUGAAAUUCUAACCUACGGGUCUUAUCGACCCGGGAGACAGUGUCAGGUGGGCAGUUUGACUGGGGCGGUCGCCUCCUAAAGUGUAACGGAGGCGCCCAAAGGUUCCCUCAGAAUGGUUGGAAAUCAUUCGUAGAGUGCAAAGGCAUAAGGGAGCUUGACUGCGAGACCUACAAGUCGAGCAGGGACGAAAGUCGGGCUUAGUGAUCCGGUGGUUCCGCAUGGAAGGGCCAUCGCUCAACGGAUAAAAGCUACCCCGGGGAUAACAGGCUUAUCUCCCCCAAGAGUCCACAUCGACGGGGAGGUUUGGCACCUCGAUGUCGGCUCAUCGCAUCCUGGGGCUGUAGUCGGUCCCAAGGGUUGGGCUGUUCGCCCAUUAAAGCGGUACGCGAGCUGGGUUCAGAACGUCGUGAGACAGUUCGGUCCCUAUCCGUCGUGGGCGUAGGAAAUUUGAGAGGAGCUGUCCUUAGUACGAGAGGACCGGGAUGGACGCACCGCUGGUGUACCAGUUGUUCUGCCAAGGGCAUAGCUGGGUAGCUAUGUGCGGAAGGGAUAAGUGCUGAAAGCAUCUAAGCAUGAAGCCCCCCUCAAGAUGAGAUUUCCCAUAGCGUAAGCUAGUAAGAUCCCUGAAAGAUGAUCAGGUUGAUAGGUUCGAGGUGGAAGCAUGGUGACAUGUGGAGCUGACGAAUACUAAUAGAUCGAGGACUUAACCAU